RNAcentral lists this ribosomal RNA (104 nucleotides) under uncultured bacterium. RNAcentral describes it as "partial 16S ribosomal RNA". It matches the Rfam family "Bacterial small subunit ribosomal RNA", at positions 1379 to 1482 of the family's 1533-position model. The record is from RNAcentral.
CCUUGUACACACCGCCCGUCACACCAUGGGAGUGGGUUUCACCAGAAGUAGGUAGCUUAACCUUCGGGAGGGCGCUUACCACGGUGAGAUUCAUGACUGGGGUG